Etheostoma cragini (Arkansas darter) is the source of this 185-nucleotide long non-coding RNA. RefSeq lists it as uncharacterized. The record is from RefSeq and is a predicted model, not a curated record. The transcript is spliced from 3 exons. Lineage: Eukaryota; Metazoa; Chordata; Actinopteri; Perciformes; Percidae.
AUUGCCCACCGGACAGUCUGUCGAGGUCGGUGACUUGAGUCUAUUCGGUGUGCUUCUGUGUGUUUGUGUGUGUUUGGUGUGUUCCGUGCGGUCGUCAGUCGGAGCCGUCGACAUAAAUUUUGGCCGAUUUGACUUGUAAGAUCGGCCUGUGGGUAGUCGGACUCAAUGACCAAUCUGAUUGGUGG